RNAcentral lists this long non-coding RNA (295 nucleotides) under Oryctolagus cuniculus (rabbit). Its description in RNAcentral is "lncRNA (ENSOCUG00000035334.1)". Lineage: Eukaryota; Metazoa; Chordata; Mammalia; Lagomorpha; Leporidae. The record is from RNAcentral.
AACCUACUCAGAAACAAGUAACAUGCUGAUGCAAUAAGCUUUGAUGCAGAUGGCAACAGUUUUCCUUUUCGUUUAUUCUACAUUUAUCUUCAUGACUGAAGACAGAAUUCCUCAAGAGCCUUCCCUUUAUCUUUGUGAAUGGAGAAGGAAACAGUUCAGAUUCACCUUCUGUGGAUUUCUUUUCUCCUGGAAAUAUCUUGCACCAACAGAAAGCAAGAUUUUACUCUGGUUCCGGAAGAUUGAAAAACAAGACAAAAGUGGUCAUCUAAGAUGUAAGCUCUCAGGAAUAAUAUAA